This 106-nucleotide small nuclear RNA is filed under the name Microcebus murinus (gray mouse lemur). The record is from RNAcentral. Lineage: Eukaryota; Metazoa; Chordata; Mammalia; Primates; Cheirogaleidae.
GUACUUGCUUUGGCAGCACUAAUACUAAAAUUGGAAUGAAAUGGAAGAUUAGCCUGGCCCUUGAGUUAAGGAAGACAGUCAAAGUCAGGAAAAGUUCCAGAUUUUU